CCAUUCGUAACGCUGAAUUUUCUGGAAUGGAAAACGGGGGAACCAAUUGAUUGCACUGUACCGAUGUGAGAGUCGGUGCAGCCGCGAUCCGGGGUGAAUCCUGAAAGAAGCCGCCAUGGAUGCUUCUUUCGGGUAGGGCGACUCUCACCGCCCGAAUCCGUCAGCUAACCUCGUAAGCGUCGUGAACCGCAGGU
Molecule: small RNA, 194 nt
Filed under: Paenibacillus swuensis
Lineage: Bacteria; Bacillati; Bacillota; Bacilli; Caryophanales; Paenibacillaceae
Description: c-di-AMP sequence
Rfam family: c-di-AMP riboswitch aptamer (ydaO/yuaA leader)
About the family: This family represents a conserved RNA structure found upstream of the ydaO and yuaA genes in Bacillus subtilis and related genes in other bacteria. The ydaO/yuaA element is thought to act as a genetic "off" switch for the ydaO and yuaA genes in its native state. It is believed that the element may be triggered during osmotic shock leading to activation of ydaO, a predicted amino acid transporter gene, and members of the yuaA-yubG operon which code for KtrA and KtrB K+ transporters.
Source: Rfam by way of RNAcentral